UGCCUUCGGGAACUGUGAGACAGGUGCUGCAUGGCUGUCGUCAGCUCGUGUUGUGAAAUGUUGGGUUAAGUCCCGCAACGAGCGCAACCCUUAUCCUUUGUUGCCAGCGGUCCGGCCGGGAACUCAAAGGAGACUGCCAGUGAUAAACUGGAGGAAGGUGGGGAUGACGUCAAGUCAUCAUGGCCCUUACGACCAGGGCUACACACGUGCUACAAUGGCAUAUA
Molecule: ribosomal RNA, 224 nt
Filed under: Klebsiella pneumoniae
Lineage: Bacteria; Pseudomonadati; Pseudomonadota; Gammaproteobacteria; Enterobacterales; Enterobacteriaceae
Also listed under: 3 other names
Description: partial 16S ribosomal RNA
Rfam family: Bacterial small subunit ribosomal RNA
Source: RNAcentral